This is a non-coding RNA of Aspergillus piperis CBS 112811, 97 nucleotides long. Lineage: Eukaryota; Fungi; Ascomycota; Eurotiomycetes; Eurotiales; Aspergillaceae. The record is from the annotation of a RefSeq genome assembly.
GCGUUAGUGGUGUAACGGUAACAUUCAACCCUUCCAUGAUCUCCUGCGAUAGCGAAAUCGAAAGGUUGGGCCCUGGGUUCGACUCCCAGCUAACGCA